This 3433-nucleotide long non-coding RNA is filed under the name Gallus gallus (chicken). The record is from RNAcentral. Lineage: Eukaryota; Metazoa; Chordata; Aves; Galliformes; Phasianidae.
GGCAGUGUCGGCACCCACUGGUUGUUCCUCUUUGCCUUCUGUUCUCUGAGGUAGGUGGGAGGUUCUGUGCUGAUAGACACCGCCUUGUAUUUCUCAUCAUUUCCAUCCAAGAUCUCUUCCACUUCAGAGGCCUUUAACAGUGUCACGCUGGUGGCUAAUGUUGUAUAUCCAUGAUAUCUUCUGGGACUGUGAGACCGCUGAUUUUCAUGUGAAGAUGCCACUAUCUUCUUCCUUUCUUCCACUGUGGCUAGUCGUCUCCAGAGUGAGGGAUACCUCUUGUACAGCGAGCCCCGGAACAUACGCAGGUAGUUCCCCACCUCGGAGCCGAUCAUAUAGAACUCGCCGUCCUCCUCCAGCUGGAACUUGACGGGCUUCUGCCCAAAAGUUUUGCUCAGCGCCAUCAUCAUCAUCGCGGCGGCCUGGCGGGGCUCCGGCGGCGCUGAGGGGAGCGGGGCGCAGCGAGAGGGGCAGCGCCGCGGCCUACUCGGCUGCUGCUCUGCGCAUGCGCCGGGCGCCGCCCAGAGCUCUCGUUCCCGCCCACCCGACGCGCGGCGGCGGCGCUGAGGGGAGGCGGGCGGCAGGUAGAAAAGAGGCGCUUUAUUGGUGAGAUCAGUCUUGUCCCAGCGUCCCCCGGAAAGGACGAAGCGUUUCUGCCGGUUGCGCCCGUUCUGGCCAUCCGGCAGCACCGGGAGGUCCGGCACACCACAACGGGGUGGGUUCCAGCGUGCUGCCUGCUCAUCUGCACCCAUGGGGAAGCCCUUGGCAGGCACACCAGUGCCCACCAGAGAUGAAAGCCAGGGACUCUGCUCCUUCCAGGUGUGAUGUUUUCGAGACAUGUCCUGAAAGAGAAAAGCAAAGCUGUCACUUCUGUGUCUGGGAUAUGAGAGGUCUUGAUGGACGGAUGGACAUCUACAAACAGCACAUCUGCAGAGGGCCAGGAGGCACCAGGCAGCCACUCCAAGGCACAAGGGGAGGAGGAGUGAAGAUGGACUCCAGGGAAAGCCCUCAUUGUGGAACUGGGACGGGAGCUACCCAGGAUAACCCACAGUCAGGGAUGCUGAAUGUACACAGGAACAGGCAGCUUUCUGCUGGGGAAGAAGCCAAGGCUUUGCGAUGGAGACUGAGCAGCAAAAUUUCUACAAGUGCAGAGAGGCUGCCAGGCCUGAAACCCAGAGCAGAGAAGAGCAGAGGAACAAAACUGUACACAAAGAGGACUGUGCAGAGAAAGUAUCUCUUCCUGACAUUCUUGUGACCAAAAGGCUGAGGGGGAACUGGAGGAAACGGACAGAUCCCAUGGGAGAGCAGAAACCACCAUGGAGGUGCUGACUGCCCACUCGGUUCCUUCCAGCUGUCUCAGUACUCAAAUUCUGUGACACAACAUACAUCUCUCUGGCUCUGCUGGGGCCAGAUGAACAUCAGCCAAACUUCCCAGGAAGUGUCCCAGCCAUCCCGAGGAGCCAGGAGCAUCUUUAACCUCAUUGUGUUGGGCAGCACUCGUCCCCCAGAAAGAGAAGCAGCCAGAGCAGCACAGCUACAAUGGAUGUAUAAAAAACCUCAAGAGCAGGGCCGCUGCCUGGUACAGACAACUCCAGUGCUCUCCUCUUCCAUCCUCUGCUGCCUGCCCUGAACUUAAACUUGUCUUUUCUGUCAUGCACCUAAUUACCUCCACGGCUGGGCUUCUGCUGACUCCUACAGCACAGACAUGAAAGGAGACCCCCCUCCCUGUCAGAUGGGAGGGACUGGACAAGCUACAGCAUGAAUUCCAUCCGUCUUGGAUACUUCCCCUGUGGCUGAGGGCUGUUUUCUCUUCUGCUUUGGGAUGAGUAGAUGGGCUUUCUCCCCACCUCCCUGUCCCUUCUGCUGCUUUUCUAUUUCUCCUUGUUUUCUUCUUGUUACUCAGAGUGUUUGCCAUGGCCCCAGUAUUUGCUGCCCCUUUGGCUACUACGAUUAUCCUCCUCCCAUGCAUGAGUCUGCACCUUGGAGCACUCCUUCCCUUAGCUCACUGUGUGGAGAAGAAGAGCAGAUAUGCUUUCUCCCGUGGCUCUCGUGUAUGACAAUUCCAGCAUGUCUUUUCUGUCUGCUGCCAGGCAGCUGUGCCCCCUCAGUGGCUCUGCACCCCUGAACAGACUCUUGGUGAUGCUCUCACCUGACAUCAGCGCUGGUUUCCUCAGGCACGGAGUACUGUGCCCAGUAUUUUGACCAGCCUGCUUCUCAUCCCAGCAUGGAUCUGCAGGGGUUGGAUUGGAAUUGCACCUACAGCUGCUAGUUAGCAGUGAAACCGAGGUCACCCCACUCUGGAGUAGAAAGUGGAAGCAGACCAUAAGUGCAGCACUGGGUGGUCACAAAGGUGUGAAUGCUGUAGCUGAAAGUCCACAGCAGAAACAUUUUUUUUUGUGCUGCUGGUCAGAAGGCACAGUUAAUGGAAACUCUGUAGAAGAAAUGUGCAAGCAAAGCCAACAGAUUAUUGAUCCUUCUCCCUGAACAAGGCUCCCUCCCAGCCCCAUUGAAUUCCUUACUUACACCAAACACAUCUAUAACAGGACUGGCUACUUCAAGCUGGGCUGCAGCCCUGUCCUACUGCACACAGAGCAGAGGGAAUGCAAAGGACAAGGCCAAACUUUGGCCAAACGAGGCCAAAUGGGAGGUGCCGCAGUUCCUGGCCUUCACACAGUUGGAGGUUCCUCUCUGCUCACUCCCAUACUUCACAGCACCACCAAGCAUGACCUCCUGUGCCCUGACGGUUUGUUUCCGGAUUAUUUGGUGAUAGUUGUUGUUGGCAAUGAAAGAAGGAAAAUGUUUAUUUUUCCUAAGCAACGUGGAACAUGAAACAUUAUAGACUGCAAAUGUUUAUGCCCACAGUCAGAAUGAAAAGGCCCAGGCUCUGAUGUAACAAGAGAAAGCAAAUGAAUAAACACUGGAGGACUAUUUUUGUUAUCAGAUACUUUAAUUACAUGACAGUUUGUGAGUCUGGUCCAUCAUUAGUACUGCAGCCAUGCUGCUGCUGUCACCCAAGCAACAGUUUGCCAGAAGCAGCAGUACUUACAAAGCAAACAAGCCCCAGAAUGCCAGGACAGUGAAAGGUUUCAAGAGUCCUUAGGAUGAUGACCUAGAAAUCCCCUUGAAGACAAGAAACCAAUCUAGGAUGCAGUACUCUCCAGCCAGAGGAGGAAGGGCUGAGAUUUUUUUGUUCAUUGUGUAUUUACAUGCAAGCUGAGGUGAGCGAUGAGCGAAUGGUGCUCAACCCAGGGACAACAGCCAGGACAUCUCCCACUGGUACAGCCACCAGGCACAGUGCAGCCCUCUGCAGAGCUAUGGGGGAUGUUCUGCCCUCAGGGAAUGCACACAGGGAUCUCCAAACCCACCGGACGAGUACUGUCCCCCUGCUUGAUCUGCUGGAGAUAUCCAGUGGGCUUUCUCCCUCCAUGAAUUUUCA